GCGCCGGUAGUUCAGGGGUAGAAUCUCAGUUUCCCACCCCCCACACGUGGAUGUGCCUACUGAGGGCCCGGGUUCGAGUCCCGGCCGGCGCA
RNAcentral lists this transfer RNA (92 nucleotides) under Trichoglossum hirsutum. It matches the Rfam family "tRNA". From Rfam's summary of the family: Transfer RNA (tRNA) molecules are approximately 80 nucleotides in length. Their secondary structure includes four short double-helical elements and three loops (D, anti-codon, and T loops). Lineage: Eukaryota; Fungi; Ascomycota; Geoglossomycetes; Geoglossales; Geoglossaceae. The record is from Rfam by way of RNAcentral.